RNAcentral lists this transfer RNA (85 nucleotides) under Felis catus (domestic cat). It matches the Rfam family "tRNA". Rfam says of the family: Transfer RNA (tRNA) molecules are approximately 80 nucleotides in length. The record is from Rfam by way of RNAcentral. Lineage: Eukaryota; Metazoa; Chordata; Mammalia; Carnivora; Felidae.
GCCUGGGUGGCUCAGUCGGUUGGGCGUCUGACUUUGGCUCAGGUCAUGAUCUCGCGGUUCGUGGGUUCAAACCCCACGUCGGGCU